AGAGUUUGAUCCUGGCUCAGAUUGAACGCUGGCGGCAGGCCUAACACAUGCAAGUCGAACGGUAGCACAGAGGAGCUUGCUCCUUGGGUGACGAGUGGCGGACGGGUGAGUAAUGUCUGGGAAACUGCCCGACAGAGGGGGAUAACUACUGGAAACGGUAGCUAAUACCGCAUAACCUCGAAAGAGCAAAGUGGGGGACCUUCGGGCCUCACGCUGUCGGAUGUGCCCAGAUGGGAUUAGCUAGUAGGUGGGGUAAUGGCUCACCUAGGCGACGAUCCCUAGCUGGUCUGAGAGGAUGACCAGCCACACUGGAACUGAGACACGGUCCAGACUCCUACGGGAGGCAGCAGUGGGGAAUAUUGGACAAUGGGCGAAAGCCCGAUCCAGCAAUAUCGCGUGAGUGAAGAAGGGCAAUGCCGCUUGUAAAGCUCUUUCGUCGAGUGCGCGAUCAUGACAGGACUCGAGGAAGAAGCCCCGGCUAACUCCGUGCCAGCAGCCGCGGUAAU
This 506-nucleotide ribosomal RNA is filed under the name uncultured endophytic bacterium. RNAcentral describes it as "bacterial SSU rRNA". It matches the Rfam family "Bacterial small subunit ribosomal RNA", at positions 8 to 524 of the family's 1533-position model. The record is from RNAcentral.